This is a long non-coding RNA of Triticum aestivum (bread wheat), 2201 nucleotides long. RefSeq lists it as uncharacterized. NCBI's taxonomy places the organism in Eukaryota, Viridiplantae, Streptophyta, Magnoliopsida, Poales, Poaceae. The record is from RefSeq and is a predicted model, not a curated record. The transcript is spliced from 5 exons.
CCCGCCGCCGUUAAAAAAAAAACCGCUCGCACGACCUCUCGCUCUUGACCUGUCGCCCCUCGUCCUUCUCCUGCGCCGUUCGCCGCCUCGCCCCGCGCCCUUCGCCGCAGGUCGCUGCCGGAGCCGCCCUGCCCCGCCCCGCCCCGCGCCUUCGCCGAGACGCCGGAGCCGCCCCGCCCUGCGCCCUUCGCCGAGCCGCCGCAGGUCGCGCCGGAGCCGCCCGCUGUUGGAGCCGCCGCAGGUCGCGUCGGAGCCGCCGCGGGUCGCCAGCGCCCUUCGCCGUAGUUCGCCGUUAGCGUCAGAUCAAUCUCUGUUUUGGGGAUGAUGAAGCACAUUAAGGAAUAAGAGGCAUAUGAGGUUCUGAUGUAGCCGGGUUCGCCGUUACCGCCGAAUUGGGACUGCUCAAUUGGUUCUGGACAAUACAACAAAAGAAAUGUGCAUAUUGUCCACAUCUGCAGGUUGUUAGUUCAUCAAAGGCGGCUACUAAGUAUACAUACCGUGUUCAUCUCGCCUGCCUUCUUAGGAAAAAUCCUAUACUCAAGGUAAGUUAUUCUUUAUUUACAUUUAAUUUGUUUCUUCCUGCUACUUGUACAAUUUGCUACAUAAAUAUUUUGACUCCUUUCCUGAAUUUUAGAUCCUAUUUGCACCGUUACCUGCAUUUUGUAUUCAGAACCAUCUGCUAAUUAAGUGUAGAAAAAAUGCUUGCGAGUUCUGUUUGUUGACUGUGUCGUGGUAGCUUCACGCAUUUAGCUGUACAUAACUGCCAAAGUAGGCAAACAAAUGUAGGUCUGAUUAAGUGAUCAGCAUGCAUGCAUGAGCUACUUACUGUUAUUUAGAGAUGCAGUCUGACAAUAGUAACUUCAUUUGCUCAGAUGCUCACCGAAUUGCGGAGAAUGGCUCAUUUUUCAGCCCAAUUCUGACACAUACCGUACCAGGCCAAAGUAUUUUCCUUUUAGAUUAUUAUUCCACAGCUCCAUAAUGCCCAUCAUCAGUAAGUUAAUCAAGAUAAGUUUGACAUGCAUGUACUGAACAAACAAAUCUUCGAGAGCAACCAAUUCUGUGAAACUUGCUGCUCUUUUCUGUGUCGUCUAAAUGUAUCUUGUAUAUGUGAUUAUCGAGUUUUUUCCCCUAUACCAGGUAUCAUCUGAAGGGGCGACAUACCCAAUUCUCGGAUUCCUCAAGCAACAGAUGUAGUGUUGUCAAUCUCUGAAGAUGCGAAUCCGUCUGCUCGUAGACAACGACAGAGGGAUGAUUGGGAUACUAAAAGCCACAAUGUAUCGAGGCUUAGUGGAGUCAGUCACCAGCCUCUCCGUUGUUUGAACAACUGAACAACAACAUCAAGCGGCGCCAAAACAUAUUGCUGAUCUGAGAGACAUCCGAGACAUGAAUGAGGAAAAAAUGAGAAGGUCGGCCAUUGUUGGCUCAAGCUCAGGAGGUGGUCGAAAGCCUGGCUCCACAUGGUCCUAGCACUACUGUCACACAUGGUGUUCGGGCCACUUCCACCAGUGCUCUGCGGGUUGUCGUUCCGCGAGAGCAAUGACGGGGAGAACAAGAUGAUGCGGUGCUUUGCUCGCCUGCAUUGCGCUGCUUGCGCUCGGGACGUGCAUGUCUACAGAAGAGCCAUGACAUACUUCAAGACUCUAAUUUACUACCUGACCAUCGCCGCGAGCUUGUCCGGGAUAUCGUACGUUGCCGAUGUGCUGAUCACGAGGCUUCUCAAACACUUUGGCACCAUCGAUCUAGGUGGUGCAUUGGCUCCUCAUGCUUCUCUAGGCCUGUUAUUCUCUCAUUUAGGUCAUGCACAUACGUCUGCCUAGGCCUCACUCUGAAUGCUUAAGAGGCUGUUUGGUUUGUGACUAACUUUGCCAAAGAUUGCCACACCUAAGGUUAGGCAAGUUUGGCCAACUUAGGUGAGUGUUUGGUUCAAGCCACACCUUAGGCAAGCCACACUUGUGCCCCACAUGGCAUACACACAAAAAGUGUGGCAAGAUUCCCUUAGGCUUGCCAACUUGUGGCUCUCAUUUUGAUGAAUUAACCUUAGGCAAGUUUGGCAAGAAUGUGUGGCAAAGUAUGGCAAUGCUAGUCCUAUAACCAAACAGCCCCUAAGUUCCUCGGAGCACUGAUUGUAUAAAAAGAGAAGACAUGUGUGAAUUCAAGAGAAAGUGCACGAAGAAACAUCUGAAUCUUUUUGAGUUGCUACA